Molecule: ribosomal RNA, 476 nt
Filed under: uncultured bacterium
Lineage: Bacteria
Description: partial 16S ribosomal RNA
Rfam family: Bacterial small subunit ribosomal RNA
Source: RNAcentral
GAUGAACGCUGGCGGCGUGCUUAACACAUGCAAGUCGAGCGAGUGAGUUCUUCGGAACGAUCUAGCGGCGGACGGGUGAGUAACACGUGGGCAACCUGCCUCAUAGAGGGGAAUAGCCUCCCGAAAGGGAGAUUAAUACCGCAUAAAAUUAUCGAGUGGCAUCACAUGAUAAUCAAAGGAGUAAUCCGCUAUGAGAUGGGCCCGCGGCGCAUUAGCUAGUUGGUGAGGUAACGGCUCACCAGGGCGACGAUGCGUAGCCGACCUGAGAGGGUGAUCGGCCACAUUGGGACUGAGACACGGCCCAGACUCCUACGGGAGGCAGCAGUGGGGAAUAUUGCACAAUGGGGGAAACCCUGAUGCAGCAACGCCGCGUGAGUGAUGAAGGUCUUCGGAUUGUAAAGCUCUGUCUUUGGGGACGAUAAUGACAGUACCCAAGGAGGAAGCCACGGCUAACUACGUGCCAGCAGCCGCGGUAA